AUAAAUUUUUUUAUUGAAUAUUAAUGAAUUACAAGUAGUGUAAGUUAGAUGUUAAGCCAAAGCACAAUUACAGGUUAAAUACAAUCACCGAGAUGUUUUAAAUAGAAACCCCACCAUGGCGUCAGUUAAGUUCCUGAUGCCCUCUUUGGAAAGUAAGUUAGAGGGUGAGGGUAAAGAGGCCUUUAGGCAAAGACACAAAGACUAGAAGAAUUUCCAUGCUGUGAGCAACUUUCCAUGACCAAAUAGCUGGGAUUGCCAGAUAGAGAAAACAAAGCAAAAGCCCAGGAUGCACAGUUAAACCUAGAUUUCAUGUAAGUAAAGAAUCUCUUCCCCACUUUAAACUGUAAGGAUAUGCUAAAUAUUGCAUGAAACACAAUGUAAAAAACUUUGAAAUUCCAGUUUAACAGGCCUUCUUAUGUUCUAUCUGACAAUCCUAUAAAUAGACAAAUGAACUCUGGUCUUUGGUGGGCACACAGACUAAAUAAAACAACACGGAUAAGAACCAAAAGGCCACUACUUACUUACACAAAACAAUAUCACAAUGAGAAAAUACAACUACUACUCAAUGCUGCCAGGAAACAUUCUAGAUUUCCUCAAAGCUGGUUUGUAAAUGUUUCUCAGAAACCUUGUGCAUCAAAGUACCUUUUUAGUUUUGUAGGUAUGAAAGACAAUUAUUACCACAAAGAUAAGAAGCUGUAGAACAAUGGGAGCAGAAGCAAUGGUUACAGUCAGGGCUACCUCCUAGCUCUAGGCUGUUGGCCUGCGAGACUUAGGUUCUUCUUAACUUUCUUUCAUUGUAGUGUUCCCCAACUGUUUGUCCUGAACAUUGGGAAGGACAGCAGAGUAUGUGGACACUUCACUACUAAACUGAAUCAUGGGGCACACUCAGGGAUGCCUGUGGAAAUAGACAGACAAAAAUGACAAAAACAAUCUGAAUUCUGGAGGGUGAGGGAACUCUUGGAAAAGAUGAUGGAGGAGUGGUACAGAGAUGCCCAGUGUAAGGGAGAGAAGGCCAAAGGAGAGUACAAAUGCAAUCCUCCUACAGUGUGAAUGUUACCUCAAAGGGCUUCUGCAGAACGCUCUGGCAGAAGUAUAAAAUAGGUCUCACUAUGACCAUAUUUGGUCUUUUAGUAUAUAAAAUCUUCAGUUUCCUACAGGUGUUCAGUUUAAUAUAUCAUAGUUUCUAUUUUAAAAUGAUUAAAAAAUAGCUCGCACACUGUGCAAAUGCUACAUGGUAUCACGGUUGUUAUUAUAUUCCCAUAUGUACAAUUUAACAGGCUUUGAAAUCUUAGCAUUUCUCCAAACCACAAGAUAUGAGGAGUUUCAGAUAUGGAGAAAUUGGAACGUAUUGAUUCUGUUCGCUGUUGUAUGUGAGGGCGUAUUAGGAAAUAUUCCCUCGUCAGCUUACCAUAUACGUAAUACAUGGAGACAUACCCCAUUCAGUGACACCGUUCCAAUGCUAAGAAAUAGAAUUAGACUGUUUCACACAUCAGGAUAUAAAAGAUUAAAAAAUGUCUGCCAAGUUAAGGCUUUCUUAAGAAGAAAAACUGCCUAUUAAUUGCAGAAUGCACAAGUUGCCAGAAGCAGCCUCUCUUAAAAGGUGGUAUUUUUGGACUGUUCUUCCUUUCCCAAUGUUAGAUGUGCUCAGAGUAGCAAGUAUUAUUUUCAUUUCUCUGUCAUUGAUUUAACAUCCUACAAACUUCAGUCUUUAAGUAAAUGUCUGACACACUAAACCCUAGUUUAAUGUCAGGUUUGAACAUUUGUUGAAUGACUAAAGUCCGUAGCUGUAGGAAGAUAAUUACUCUGAAAGAAACACAGUCAGAAGGCUACCAUAGAUAUCACACAACUGAGGUCUAGGUGCACUGGUGGAAAGCCGCUUAGAAAACUGUUUGUGAGACCAUUUACAGGAAUCCAUUUAAUGCACAUUUGAAAAGGGAAGGAGAACAAUGUUUAAUAACACUUUGUGCAUUUAGAGAAUAUGCUGAAAUAGAGAAAAAUCUCAACAGCCUAUUGCAUUUGGUAGAACUGUUUUCCUGCUUUAAACAAAAUUUUGUUUUUGUACAAUAUCUAUGACAAUAGAAAGUGAAUCUAUAUUAGUGUUUGCUUGUCAUGUUUAGGCAUUUCUCUAUAUGUUUCAAUGCACUUGGCUAUUUUAAGACAGCAAAGGGAGAUCAGCCAAUAUCAUCAAGCUCAAAGGAGCACAAGGAUGCUUGUUAUUUUGUGACUACACACAAUAUUGUUUAUUUACGUAAGCUGCUUGGCUAGAAUUUCUACUUGGCUAGAAAUUCUGGAUUGCUAAAGAGGAAGAGAAAAUAAGAAUCCUGGUGUACUGCUAUCAUUUUGUGUAGAAGAAAAACUCUGGGUUCCAUGUGGUCGUUUGCUAACAAACUGGCAGAAAUUUUGAGCACAGUUCUGGUUGUGAUAUGGAAAUGGAGAGAUACCCAGAUUCUUUUUGUAAGACUCAAGAUGAAGAGAGAAAAUAAGUGGGGUAAAAGGCAAUUAGAGCUUUCUAAAAUUACAACUAGCAAUUGAGGGAAAGGCAAAGGUAAGUCCAAGAAGGAAAGUAUUUAGAGCACUUAAUUUAUGCCUAAAUAUCCCCAGUUUAGCCACAACAAACAAACAAACAAACAAACAAACAAAAAAACCCUGGAAAACUGGGCCCCUCAGACCUAAAGAAGCCCUUUGAUUUGAACUCUGGUAAAAGCUGGUAGCAAUGGCAGAAAUGUCAGGAUUCUCUCUUCUGUUCAGUUUGGGAAUCAGAAGGUGUGUUUCAGGGAGUCCCAAACUUGUGUUUUUCAAUAGUGCAUAUAUAAGAAAUUAAACAGAGCCUAGUUAAAUUUAAUGCCACACUUUUAUAUUCCAGAAGGUUCCUCACAUUACUAUAUAUGGAAAUUCCAAGUGUGAUCAACUUUUGCUAACUUUUAAGUAUACUCAUGAUGACCUUUGGCUUUCAAGUUCUGAAAAAAUCUAUUUGGCUCCUGUGAUAUAUCCCUUAACCUAAUCUCUUUAAUUGAUAAUGUACAUACACUCUUUCAAGACCUAUGACAUGCUUGAAUCGACUAAAAGCGCUGCGAUGUCUUCUUUACAUGUACCUUUACUAGGUAUACAGAACAUCAGACAUAGAACACUGGCAGUUGAAUGAACCACAAUCUUAACUUCUCAAGUGUAAAGCCCACAUUUAAAACUGGCACAUGUAUGAAUCUAAUUAGUAUAUGAUGGAAAUAACACAACAUCCAACCACAGUUGGGUAGUGGUUUAUCUUUUUAAUGAAGCUAUAGAGCUGUCCAUAUCUACACCAUAUUAACUUGUUUAUUUAACUAAAACUCACAGCUGUAUUUACUGUUCUGACUAUGUUGGAGGUGAGGGCGAGUAAUACACACUCCACAGCUACUGAAAAUGACACCGAGAGCCAGGUCUUCAACCAUUUUACACACAGCAAAAAAGAAGGGAAGGAGGAAAAAAGCCCUCUAGUGCCACUAAAUACACAGCCAAAAAAAAAGCACCCAGCCUAGCAGCAGGUAGCGCUAACUCUUGGCUGAGCUUUGAGGACCCAUGCAAGCUUCAAAUAGAAAAUUCAGCAGUCUCAGUGCCUCGUUCUAGCAUUGGGCUAAAGCCACAAAAAAAGGUUAUUUCGAGAGCUUAUUUCUAAGAUUUUGCAUGUAGCCAUUUUAUUUCACGUUUGGAAACUUAAAGGAGGUCACAGCUUAAUCAGACUGCACUAAAAAGAAAAGUUAUAUUAGUUUUCAGGACUUUCAAUGGAUGUGGCAGGUUUACACUGGUUCUUAUUUUUCUAUGAUGUUCACAUUACUUUUGCUUCAAAGCUGAGUGAGAUGCACAGCAUGUCAAGUAAAUAAAAAUAUGCACUCUGCCCAAUACUCAGUCAUGGUGAACAGGGCAAGCCUAAGGACUGAAGUGGGUAACUUUCAUUACUGUCAAUAUGUACUUUGCAAAUGUUGGGGAGAAGAAGCAGUAUGGUGCUUCCUUAUCAAAUUCAUUAAAAAAAAUAACCAAAAGGGCUUUGGUUUCAAUUUUUUGUCUAAAUAUAUUAAGAAUAGCUCAAAAAUUUAGUGCAGAGAUCUUUAUAAACUAUUUGAAGCAUGCUACUCAAAAUACCCUUCAAAUCUGAAGU
Molecule: long non-coding RNA, 4129 nt
Organism: Dipodomys spectabilis (banner-tailed kangaroo rat)
Lineage: Eukaryota; Metazoa; Chordata; Mammalia; Rodentia; Heteromyidae
Exons: 2
Source: RefSeq, a predicted model, not a curated record